UAUAGGACUACAAUGUGGACUUAAAUAUGAUAGUGGAACAGGUUUGGAAAGGCCGAUCACAGAGGGUGAUAAUCCCGUACACGACAUCAGAUUUAUACCUAGUAGUAUCCUGAGUACUGCGGGGUCGGAGACGCCCUGUAGGAAUUUGCCGGCACCAUCCGGUAAGGCUAAAUACUCCUAAGAGACCGAUAGUGAACUAGUACUGUGAAGGAAAGGUGAAAAGAACCGCGAACAGCGGAGUGAAAUAGAACCUGAAACCAUACGCUUACAAGCGGUCGGAGCCCUCAAGUGGGGUGACGGCGUGCCUUUUGCAUAAUGAGCCUACGAGUUGCUCUUUACUGGCAAGGUUAAGUCCUUCAGGGACGUAAACCGAAGCGAAAGCGAGUCUGAAUAGGGCGCAUAGUCAGUAGAGGCAGACGCGAAACCUUGUGAUCUACCCAUGGCCAGGAUGAAGUUCCGUUAACCCGGAAUGGAGGUCCGAACCGAUAAGCGUUGAAAAGCUUCCGGAUGAGCUGUGGGUAGGGGUGAAAGGCUAAUCAAACUGGGAAAUAGCUCGUACUCCCCGAAAUGCCUUUAGGGGCAGCGUAGAGAUUGAGUCUUAUAGAGGUAGAGCUACUGAUUGGAUGCGGGGGAAGCGAUUCCUACCAAGUCCUGACAAACUCCGAAUGCUAUAAGAUAUGUUCUGCAGUGAGCCCACGGGUGCUAAGGUCCGUGGACGAGAGAGGGAGAACUCAGACCAACAGCUAAGGUCCCUAAAUCUAUACUAAGUUGAUAUAACGUGGUCCGAUUGCAUUGACAGCCAGGAUGUUUGCUUGGAAGCAGCCAUUCAUUUAAAGAGUGCGUAACAGCUCACUGGUCGAGCGAUUGGGCGUGGAUGAUACUCGGGCAUCAAGACUAGUACCGAAGCUUUGGACCCCGCAGCAAUGCGUGGGUGGUAGGGGAGCAUUCUAACAUCGUUGAAGGAGUUGCGUAAGCGCUACUGGAGAGGUUAGAAAAGCAAAUGUAGGCAUAAGUAACGAUAAAAUAGGCGAGAAACCUAUUCGCCAAUAGUCUAAGGUUUCCUGAACAACGAUAAUCGGUUCAGGGUUAGUCGGGUCCUAAGGUGAAGCCGAACGGCGUAAUCGAUGGACAACUGGUUAAUAUUCCAGUACUAACACCACUGCGAUGGAGAGACGAAAAAACGUAAAUGCUACGCGCGGACGGAAGUGCGCGUUUAAGCCCGUAGGGUUACACUUGGUAGGCAAAUCCGCCAGGUGUCUGAAAGGUGAAAGUACCCUGAGUCGUCAGACAAGGGGAUAAGCAUCCAAGUAUGUUUCCGAGAAAAACUUCUAAGCUUCAGGUGAGUGUUACCCGUACCGCAAACCGACACAGGUAGACAAGUAGAAUAUACUAAGGCGCUCGAGUGAUCCGUGGCUAAGGAACUAGGCAAAUUGACCCCGUAACUUCGGGAAAAGGGGUUCCCGACGCAAGUCGGGACGCAGAGAAAUGGCGGUGGCGACUGUUUAACAAAAACACAGGGCUUUGCAAAAACGAAAGUUGAAGUAUAAGGCCUGACACCUGCCCGGUGCUGGAAGGUUAAGAGGAGAGGUCAUCGCAAGAGAAGCUUUGAAUCGAAGCCCCAGUAAACGGCGGCCGUAACUAUAACGGUCCUAAGGUAGCGAAAUUCCUUGUCGGGUAAGUUCCGACCUGCACGAAUGGUGUAACGAUCUCCGCUCUGUCUCAGCCACGAGCUCGGUGAAAUUGUGGUAUCAGUGAAGACGCUGAUUACCCGCAACGGGACGGAAAGACCCCAUGCACCUUUACUAUAGCUUAACAUUGACUCUGGAUAAUUGAUGUGUAGGAUAGGUGGGAGACUAUGAAGUGGUGGCGCCAGCCAUCAUGGAGUCAACGUUGAAAUACCACCCUUUAAUUAUUUGGCGUCUAACUCCGAAAGGAGGACAUUGUUUGGUGGGUAGUUUGACUGGGGUGGUCGCCUCCGAAAGGGUAUCGGAGGCUUUCAAAGGUUCGCUCA
RNAcentral lists this ribosomal RNA (2011 nucleotides) under freshwater metagenome. RNAcentral's name for it is "bacterial LSU rRNA". It matches the Rfam family "Bacterial large subunit ribosomal RNA", at positions 296 to 2324 of the family's 2925-position model. The record is from RNAcentral.